RNAcentral lists this ribosomal RNA (449 nucleotides) under uncultured bacterium. RNAcentral describes it as "partial 16S ribosomal RNA". It matches the Rfam family "Bacterial small subunit ribosomal RNA", at positions 29 to 523 of the family's 1533-position model. The record is from RNAcentral.
AACGAACGCUGGCGGCAUGCCUAACACAUGCAAGUCGAACGAGAUCUUCGGGUCUAGUGGCGCACGGGUGCGUAACGCGUGGGAAUCUGCCCUUUGGUUCGGAAUAACAGUUGGAAACGACUGCUAAUACCGGAUGAUGACGAAAGUCCAAAUAUUUAUCGCCAGAGGAUGAGCCCGCGUAGGAUUAGCUAGUUGGUGUGGUAAAGGCGCACCAAGGCGACGAUCCUUAGCUGGUCUGAGAGGAUGAUCAGCCACACUGGGACUGAGACACGGCCCAGACUCCUACGGGAGGCAGCAGUGGGGAAUAUUGGACAAUGGGCGAAAGCCUGAUCCAGCAAUGCCGCGUGAGUGAUGAAGGCCUUAGGGUUGUAAGGCUCUUUUACCCGGGAUGAUAAGGACAGUACCGGGAGAAUAAGCUCCGGCUAACUCCGUGCCAGCCGCCGCAGUAA